This 507-nucleotide ribosomal RNA is filed under the name Glomus sp. PSAMG1. RNAcentral describes it as "SSU rRNA". It matches the Rfam family "Eukaryotic small subunit ribosomal RNA", at positions 569 to 1078 of the family's 1831-position model. The record is from RNAcentral. Lineage: Eukaryota; Fungi; Glomeromycota; Glomeromycetes; Glomerales; Glomeraceae.
AGCAGCCGCGGUAAUUCCAGCUCCAAUAGCGUAUAUUAAAGUUGUUGCAGUUAAAAAGCUCGUAGUUGAAUUUCGGGAUCAGCAGGUUGGUCUUGCCACUGGUAUGUACUAGCUUGCUGAUUCCUCCUUCUUGUAGAACCGUAAUGCCAUUAAUUUGGUGUUGCGGGGAAACAGGACUGUUACUUUGAAAAAAUUAGAGUGUUUAAAGCAAGCUAACGCUUGAAUACAUUAGCAUGGAAUAAUGAAAUAGGACGUUUGAUCCUAUUUUGUUGGUUUCUAGGAUUGACGUAAUGAUUAAUAGGGAUAGUUGGGGGCAUUAGUAUUCAAUUGUCAGAGGUGAAAUUCUUGGAUUUAUUGAAGACUAACUACUGCGAAAGCAUUUGCCAAGGAUGUUUUCAUUAAUCAAGAACGAAAGUUAGGGGAUCGAAGACGAUCAGAUACCGUCGUAGUCUUAACCAUAAACUAUGGCGACUAGGGAUCGGAUGAUGUUAAUUUUUUAAUGACUCA